CCUACGGGAGGCAGCAGUGAGGAAUAUUGGUCAAUGGACGAGAGUCUGAACCAGCCAAGUAGCGUGAAGGAUGACUGCCCUAUGGGUUGUAAACUUCUUUUAUAAAGGAAUAAAACGAGGCACGUGUGCCUUUUUGCAUGUACUUUAUGAAUAAGGAUCGGCUAACUCCGUGCCAGCAGCCGCGGUAAUACGGAGGAUCCGAGCGUUAUCCGGAUUUAUUGGGUUUAAAGGGAGCGUAGAUGGGUUGUUAAGUCAGGUGUGAAAGUUUGCGGCUAAACCGUAAAAUUGCAAUUGAUACUGGCAGUCGUGAGUACAGUUGAGGUAGGCGGAAUUCGUGGUGUAGCGGUGAAAUGCUUAGAUAUCACGAAGAACCCCGAUUGCGAAGGCAGCUUACUAAACUGUGACUGACAUUGAUGCUCGAAAGUGUGGGUAUCAAACAGGAUUAGAUACCCUGGUAGUC
RNAcentral lists this ribosomal RNA (460 nucleotides) under uncultured bacterium. RNAcentral describes it as "partial 16S ribosomal RNA". It matches the Rfam family "Bacterial small subunit ribosomal RNA", at positions 338 to 795 of the family's 1533-position model. The record is from RNAcentral.